AGCGAACGCUGGCGGCAGGCCUAACACAUGCAAGUCGAACGGAUCCUUCGGGAUUAGUGGCGGACGGGUGAGUAACACGUGGGAACGUGCCCUUUGGUUCGGAACAACUCAGGGAAACUUGAGCUAAUACCGGAUGGGCCCUUCGGGGGAAAGAUUUAUCGCCAUUGGAGCGGCCCGCGUCUGAUUAGCUAGUUGGUGAGGUAACGGCCCACCAAGGCGACGAUCAGUAGCUGGUCUGAGAGGAUGAUCAGCCACACUGGGACUGAGACACGGCCCAGACUCCUACGGGAGGCAGCAGUGGGGAAUCUUGCGCAAUGGGCGAAAGCCUGACGCAGCCAUGCCGCGUGAAUGAUGAAGGUCUUAGGAUUGUAAAAUUCUUUCAGCGGGGACGAUAAUGACGGUACCCGCAGAAGAAGCUCCGGCUAACUUCGUG
Molecule: ribosomal RNA, 433 nt
Filed under: uncultured bacterium
Lineage: Bacteria
Description: partial 16S ribosomal RNA
Rfam family: Bacterial small subunit ribosomal RNA
Source: RNAcentral